RNAcentral lists this ribosomal RNA (431 nucleotides) under uncultured Glomus. RNAcentral's name for it is "SSU rRNA". It matches the Rfam family "Eukaryotic small subunit ribosomal RNA", at positions 569 to 1003 of the family's 1831-position model. The record is from RNAcentral. Lineage: Eukaryota; Fungi; Glomeromycota; Glomeromycetes; Glomerales; Glomeraceae.
AGCAGCCGCGGUAAUUCCAGCUCCAAUAGCGUAUACUAAAGUUGUUGCAGUUAAAAAGCUCGUAGUUGAAUUUCGGGGUUAGUAGGUUGGUCAUGCCUCUGGUAUGUACUGGCCUCACUGAUUCCUCCUUCCUGAUGAACCGUAAUGCCAUUAAUUUGGUGUUGCGGGGAAUUUGGACUGUUACUUUGAAAAAAUUGAGUGUUUAAAGCAAGCUAACGCUUGAAUACAUUAGCAUGGAAUAAUGAAAUAGGACGUUCGAUCCUAUUUUGUUGGUUUCUAGGAUUGACGUAAUGAUUAAUAGGGAUAGUUGGGGGCAUUAGUAUUCAAUUGUCAGAGGUGAAAUUUCUUAGGAUUUAUUGAAGUACUAACUACUGCGAAAGCAUUUGCCAAGGAUGUUUCAUUAAUCAAGAACGAAAGUUAGGGAUACGAAG